UACGUAGGGAGCAAGCGUUGUCCGGAAUCAUUGGGCGUAAAGCGCGCGUAGGCGGCCUCGUAAGUCCGUUGUGAAAGUCAAAGGCUCAACCUUUGAAAGCCGAUGGAUACUGUGAGGCUAGAGUCCGGAAGAGGCGAGUGGAAUUCCUGGUGUAGCGGUGGAAUGCGCAGAUAUCAGGAGGAACACCGAUAGCGAAGGCAGCUCGCUGGGACGGUACUGACGCUGAGACGCGAAAGCGUGGGGGAGCAACAGG
RNAcentral lists this ribosomal RNA (253 nucleotides) under uncultured bacterium. Its description in RNAcentral is "partial 16S ribosomal RNA". It matches the Rfam family "Bacterial small subunit ribosomal RNA", at positions 524 to 776 of the family's 1533-position model. The record is from RNAcentral.